Molecule: ribosomal RNA, 496 nt
Filed under: uncultured bacterium
Lineage: Bacteria
Description: partial 16S ribosomal RNA
Rfam family: Bacterial small subunit ribosomal RNA
Source: RNAcentral
GAUGAACGCUGGCGGCGUGCCUAAUACAUGCAAGUCGAGCGAACGGACGAGAAGCUUGCUUCUUUGAUGUUAGCGGCGGACGGGUGAGUAACACGUGGAUAACCUACCUAUAAGACUGGGAUAACUUCGGGAAACCGGAGCUAAUACCGGAUAAUAUUUUGAACCGCAUGGUUCAAUAGUGAAAGACGGUCUUGCUGUCACUUAUAGAUGGAUCCGCGCGGCAUUAGCUAGUUGGUAAGGUAACGGCUUACCAAGGCAACGAUGCGUAGCCGACCUGAGAGGUUGAUCGGCAAACCUGAACUUGAGCACGGGCCCAGCUCCCACGGGAGGGCAGAAGUGGGAAAUCUCCGGAAAUGGGCGAAAGCCUACCGGAGAAACGCGGCGGAGUUAUUGAAGGCUUUCGGACCGUAAACCCCUGUUAUAGGGAAGAACAUACGUGUAAGUAACUGUGCACAUCUUGACGGUACCUAAUCAGAAAGCCACGGCUAACUACGUG